GAUGAAGAACGCAGCGAAAUGCGAUAAGUAAUGUGAAUUGCAGAAUUCAGUGAAUCAUCGAAUUUUUGAACGCACCUUGCGCCCCUUGGUAUUCCGAGGAGCAUGCCUGUUUGAGUGUCAGUAAAUUCUCAAACCCUUCCAGCUUUUUGUAGUUGGCUCUGGGUCUUGGAUGUGGAGGUGUUGCAGGCCUUUUUGAGGUCAGCUCCCCUGAAAUGCAUUAGCAGAACCGUUUGCAAUCCAUCACAGGUGUGAUAAUUAUCUACGCCAGUGGGUUGCUCUCUGUCACUGUUCAGCUUACAAUUGUCCCAUUCUUGUGGACCAACUAUUGCUGAUUCUUUGACCUCAAAUCAGGUAGGACUACCCGCUGAACUUAAGCAUAUCAAUAAGCGGAGA
Molecule: unclassified non-coding RNA, 393 nt
Filed under: soil metagenome
Description: partial contains 5.8S ribosomal RNA, internal transcribed spacer 2, and large subunit ribosomal RNA
Rfam family: 5.8S ribosomal RNA (bases 1-120)
Source: RNAcentral